GGCUCAGUAGCCAGUGUAGAUCCUGUCUUUUGUAAUCAGUAGCUACAUCUGGCUACUGGGUCUC
Molecule: microRNA precursor, 64 nt
Organism: Ailuropoda melanoleuca (giant panda)
Lineage: Eukaryota; Metazoa; Chordata; Mammalia; Carnivora; Ursidae
Source: Ensembl